AGAGUUUGAUCAUGGCUCAGAUUGAACGCUGGCGGCAGGCCUAACACAUGCAAGUCGAACGGUAACAGGAAGCAGCUUGCUGCUUUGCUGACGAGUGGCGGACGGGUGAGUAAUGUCUGGGAAACUGCCUGAUGGAGGGGGAUAACUACUGGAAACGGUGGCUAAUACCGCAUAACGUCGCAAGACCAAAGAGGGGGACCUUCGGGCCUCUUGCCAUCAGAUGUGCCCAGAUGGGAUUAGCUUGUUGGUGAGGUAACGGCUCACCAAGGCGACGAUCCCUAGCUGGUCUGAGAGGAUGACCAGCCACACUGGAACUGAGACACGGUCCAGACUCCUACGGGAGGCAGCAGUGGGGAAUAUUGCACAAUGGGCGCAAGCCUGAUGCAGCCAUGCCGCGUGUAUGAAGAAGGCCUUCGGGUUGUAAAGUACUUUCAGCGGGGAGGAAGGUGUUGCGGUUAAUAACCGCAGCAAUUGACGUUACCCGCAGAAGAAGCACCGGCUAACUCCGUGCCAGCAGCCGCGGUAAUACGGAGGGUGCAAGCGUUAAUCGGAAUUACUGGGCGUAAAGCGCACGCAGGCGGUCUGUCAAGUCGGAUGUGAAAUCCCCGGGCUCAACCUGGGAACUGCAUUCGAAACUGGCAGGCUUGAGUCUUGUAGAGGGGGGUAGAAUUCCAGGUGUAGCGGUGAAAUGCGUAGAGAUCUGGAGGAAUACCGGUGGCGAAGGCGGCCCCCUGGACAAAGACUGACGCUCAGGUGCGAAAGCGUGGGGAGCAAACAGGAUUAGAUACCCUGGUAGUCCACGCCGUAAACGAUGUCUACUUGGAGGUUGUGCCCUUGAGGCGUGGCUUCCGGAGCUAACGCGUUAAGUAGACCGCCUGGGGAGUACGGCCGCAAGGUUAAAACUCAAAUGAAUUGACGGGGGCCCGCACAAGCGGUGGAGCAUGUGGUUUAAUUCGAUGCAACGCGAAGAACCUUACCUGGUCUUGACAUCCACAGAACUUUCCAGAGAUGGAUUGGUGCCUUCGGGAACUGUGAGACAGGUGCUGCAUGGCUGUCGUCAGCUCGUGUUGUGAAAUGUUGGGUUAAGUCCCGCAACGAGCGCAACCCUUAUCCUUUGUUGCCAGCGAUUAGGUCGGGAACUCAAAGGAGACUGCCAGUGAUAAACUGGAGGAAGGUGGGGAUGACGUCAAGUCAUCAUGGCCCUUACGACCAGGGCUACACACGUGCUACAAUGGCGCAUACAAAGAGAAGCGACCUCGCGAGAGCAAGCGGACCUCAUAAAGUGCGUCGUAGUCCGGAUUGGAGUCUGCAACUCGACUCCAUGAAGUCGGAAUCGCUAGUAAUCGUGGAUCAGAAUGCCACGGUGAAUACGUUCCCGGGCCUUGUACACACCGCCCGUCACACCAUGGGAGUGGGUUGCAAAAGAAGUAGGUAGCUUAACCUUCGGGAGGGCGCUUACCACUUUGUGAUUCAUGACUGGGGUGAAGUCGUAACAAGGUAACCGUAGGGGAACCUGCGGUUG
This 1522-nucleotide ribosomal RNA is filed under the name Salmonella enterica subsp. enterica serovar Oranienburg. RNAcentral's name for it is "bacterial SSU rRNA". It matches the Rfam family "Bacterial small subunit ribosomal RNA". The record is from RNAcentral. RNAcentral also lists the same sequence under 6 other names. Lineage: Bacteria; Pseudomonadati; Pseudomonadota; Gammaproteobacteria; Enterobacterales; Enterobacteriaceae.